GCCGUACUUAGCCCACAACCAACAAAACACAACUAAAAUACUCACCUAAAAUAAAACAUUCAUCUAACCGUAAAAGUAUAGGAGAUAGAAAUUUCAAUCGGCGCUAUAGAGACAGUACCGCAAGGGAACAAUGAAAGAACUAACCAAAGCAAUAAAUAGCAAAGAUUACCCCUUGUACCUUUUGCAUAAUGAAUUAACUAGACACAACUUAGCAAAGAGAACUUAAGUUAAUAACCCCGAAACCAGACGAGCUAUUUGUGAGCAGUCCAAAAGAACAAACUCAUCUAUGUGGCAAAAUAGUGAGAAGACUUGCAAAUAGAGGUGACAAGCCUACCGAGCCUGGUGAUAGCUGGUUGUCCAGAAAAGAAUAUUAGUUCGGACUUAAGCCUACCUACCAAACCCAUAAUUGUAAUUGUAGACUUAAGAAAUAAUCUAAAAGGGUACAGCCUUUUAGACACAGGAUACAACCUUUACUAGAGAGUAAGUAUGUAAAUAAACCAUGGUUGGCUUAAAAGCAGCCAUCAAUAAAGAAAGCGUUCAAGCUCAACAACCCAAAUAAUCCAAUGUCAACAAAAACUACCAUCUCCUAGUACUGAAACUGGACCAUUCUAUAACUAUAUAGAAGAGAUACUGUUAAUAUGAGUAACAAGAAUUCAAUUCUCCCCCGCACAAGUGUAUAUCAGAACGAAUAAUCACUGGUAGUUAACGCAUAUAAAGCAAACCAAACAACAAGCCCUUUAACCCCCUUCCGUUAACCCAACACAGGAGUGCACUCAGGGAAAGAUUAAAAGGAGUAAAAGGAACUCGGCAAACAUAAACCCCGCCUGUUUACCAAAAACAUCACCUCUAGCAUUACCAGUAUUAGAGGCACUGCCUGCCCAGUGACGUAAGUUCAACGGCCGCGGUAUCCUGACCGUGCAAAGGUAGCAUAAUCACUUGUUCUCUAAAUAAGGACUUGUAUGAAUGGCCACACGAGGGUUUUACUGUCUCUUACUCCCAAUCAGUGAAAUUGACCUCCCCGUGAAGAGGCGGGGAUAUCCCAAUAAGACGAGAAGACCCUAUGGAGCUUUAAUUAAUUAGCCCAAGAGCAAAAACAACAACCACCGAAAGGAAUAAAACAGCCUCAAGUGGGCUAACAAUUUAGGUUGGGGUGACCUCGGAGCAUAAAAAACCCUCCGAGAAUUAUAAGCUUAGACCUACCAGUCAAAGCCACGCUACUUAUUGAUCCAAAUAAUAUUUGAUCAACGGAACAAGUUACCCUAGGGAUAACAGCGCAAUCCUAUUUAAGAGUCCCUAUCGACAAUAGGGUUUACGACCUCGAUGUUGGAUCAGGACAUCCUAAUGGUGCAGCAGCUAUUAAGGGUUCGUUUGUUCAACGAUUAAAGUCCUACGUGAUCUGAGUUCAGACCGGAGUAAUCCAGGUCGGUUUCUAUCUAUUUUACGCCCCUCCCAGUACGAAAGGACAAGAGAGACAGGGCCUCCUUAACCUAAGCGCCCUCCAGCCGAAUAGAUGAUAUAAUCUUAAUCUAACGUGCAGUAAAUAUAUCAGCCCAAGAUCAGGGCUC
This 1565-nucleotide ribosomal RNA is filed under the name Leptonycteris curasoae (southern long-nosed bat). RNAcentral's name for it is "16S ribosomal RNA". It matches the Rfam family "Bacterial large subunit ribosomal RNA". The record is from RNAcentral. Lineage: Eukaryota; Metazoa; Chordata; Mammalia; Chiroptera; Phyllostomidae.